Molecule: long non-coding RNA, 271 nt
Filed under: Carica papaya (papaya)
Lineage: Eukaryota; Viridiplantae; Streptophyta; Magnoliopsida; Brassicales; Caricaceae
Description: long non-coding RNA (CPAP_LNC014489)
Source: RNAcentral
UAAAGAGGCUUGUUUAAAUUUAUCUGACUUCAACCCUUCUUUUCCCAAUUCUAUUUUCUCUCUUUUGCAAGUUUGAUGAUGUCUUUCCAUAAGAGAUAUUGGAUGGUCUUCCACCACUACGAGGAAUCAAGCAUUAGAUUGACUUUAUCCAUGGCAUAUCAAUUACCAAUCACCCAGUCUACCGAAGUAAUCCCGAGAAGACGAAGGAACUUUAGCAGCAAAUGGAGGAGUUGUUAGAGAAGGGACAUGUCUGAGAAACCUGGAGUCUUAG